CCCCCGGAGACCGAUGAUGAUCCGGUCAUCUGUUACUUCCCGGUCAAGGAUCUGUAUCUGUCCGCAGAGCAACAAGGCAAGCAAACCCCCUUGAUCAUUCCUAUAUCACCCAUUUUCUUUAUCCCUCAUGCUUGCAUUAGAAUUUUUCUACUGUUGUAGUUAGCUCCUAUAUCUGAUGCAUAGCCUAAUUUUGAUGAACUCUUACUUUCCAGUACCACACUUUAAACUGCUUAGUAUAGGUGGCUUUGUCAUCCCCUCUGACCCUUAAUCCAGUUGCCCCCAUGUUAUCGUCAAGUCUCGAUCCCUGAUCGACGAGCCAAGACCCGACACAGCACUCACAACCCCCUUAGUUGUACAACGCUGCAGAGCUACUAUCAGGUACCGAGGGUGACUCCUCGUGAAGUACUCAUGAUGCUACCUCUGUAGUGCAGCUAGUCGGCCGUGGUUAUCGAGGGUGAUUCCUCCUUCACCACUCCCGACGGUGACUUUGUCAUGCAACCCCUCAAGUGUGAGACCCUCGAGGGUGAUUCCUCUAAGUCCACCUUGACGGUUACAUUGUUCAGAAUCCAAUGAGGGUGAUGCCUCGGAUCCCCCUAAUGUUACAACUACACAGUUACUUGACCGUUAGUGGGAACAUUGUUGAAAUAAUGUUAGGCGGGUGGAUUCCCGUGUGUAUGUGUCGAUUAGUUAAUUAAAAUGUUAAUGGAUUUGGGUAUUUGAUCUGGGUUGGUCGGAGACCUUAUUCACACUAACCGUCUACGUGGGAGGAGUUAUGGGUUCUCGACGUCGUGGUAUCAGCCGAACCUCUUCAGACGUCAGCAAUGGAGCGGCACGCGCCCGAGUGGUCCGAAUAGGCAUCGCGCUUGUUAUAAGGGGUGCUAGGACUGACAUCGGCCGCCCUCACAUCAUGGGGGAGUGCAAAGGGUGAUGGGCCCAUGACCCAUGCGUGCUCAGGAUUUAGACCGGCGGGCUGGCCUCUCUGUUGAGCUUAGGUGGGGCUGCGACGUGUUGAUGUUUCGAGGUCGGGCAUGACCCAGGAAAGUGUGUCCGGACAGAGUUUAUUGAGCGUGACGGGGAAUAUGUGGUGCACCCCUGCAAGGAAGAACUUAUCUAUUUGAAUAGCCGUGUCCACGGUUAUAGGACGACUUGGAGUUGUGCCCCGAUCUUAUACAACUACAACAUUUACUUAAUUGGAAUGUUUGCUCCGGGAUUGCCUCCUCGUAGGGAGUAGAGGAAGGAUCUUUGGGCGUGACUUUAUUUAAUAUUGAUGCAACAAUAUUACUAUUAAUUGUGUUAUCUGUUCUACUCUAGUCUAUUCCUGCAAGACCCCUGAAGAUGCUACUCUUCGAUAGGACUAGACCUUCUCUCUCUUUCUCGCAUUGCUACAGCGAGUCCACAUAUAACCCCCUUCCUUUGAUACUCAUGCAUACUUAGCAUAGUUCUGAUGUCAGUCUUGCGAGUAUUUGGAUGAGUACUCACCGUUGCUUUGCUCCCCCUUUUCCCCUUGAUCCGUUGCAGCGACCAGAUGAUGGAGCCCAGGAGAUGGCGUAUCGUGCCGACGACGACUGCUACCCUGACGGAGCUAGCUACUACGUGGAGGCCGUUGAAGACCAAGAGUAGUUAGGAGGCUCCCAGACAGGAGGCCUCGCCUCAUUCGAUCGUUGUAUCUUUUGUGCUGGCCUUCUCUAAG
Molecule: long non-coding RNA, 1690 nt
Filed under: Hordeum vulgare
Lineage: Eukaryota; Viridiplantae; Streptophyta; Magnoliopsida; Poales; Poaceae
Description: long non-coding RNA (HVUL_LNC001669)
Source: RNAcentral